RNAcentral lists this ribosomal RNA (253 nucleotides) under uncultured bacterium. RNAcentral describes it as "partial 16S ribosomal RNA". It matches the Rfam family "Bacterial small subunit ribosomal RNA", at positions 524 to 776 of the family's 1533-position model. The record is from RNAcentral.
UACGGGGGGGGCAAGCGUUGUUCGGAAUUACUGGGCGUAAAGGGCUCGUAGGUGGCCAACUAAGUCGGACGUGAAAUCCCUCAGCUUAACUGGGGAACUGCGUCCGAUACUGGAUGGCUCGAGUUUGGGAGAGGGAUGCGGAAUUCCAGGUGUAGCGGUGAAAUGCGUAGAUAUCGGGAAGAACACCCGUGGCGAAGGCGGCUCUCUGGGACGGUACUGACGCUGAGACGCGAAAGCGUGGGGAGCAAACAGG